GACGAGCUCUCCAAACGUUAUUCGGUAUCACUGGGCUUAAAGAGUUCGUAGGCGGCUUUGUAGGUGAGGUGUGAAAGCCCUCGGCUUAACCGAGGAACUGCGCUUCAAACCGCAAGGCUAGAGGGAGAUAGGGGUAAGCGGAACAGAUGGUGGAGCGGUGAAAUGCAUUGAUAUCAUCUGGAACACCGGUGGCGAAAGCGGCUUACUGGAUCUUUUCUGACGCUGAGGAACGAAAGCUAGGGUAGCGAACGGG
This 253-nucleotide ribosomal RNA is filed under the name uncultured bacterium. Its description in RNAcentral is "partial 16S ribosomal RNA". It matches the Rfam family "Bacterial small subunit ribosomal RNA", at positions 524 to 776 of the family's 1533-position model. The record is from RNAcentral.